UACCCUGUAGGUACGACCUUGC
RNAcentral lists this microRNA (22 nucleotides) under Petromyzon marinus (sea lamprey). Its description in RNAcentral is "pma-miR-10b-5p". Its record names the gene pma-miR-10b-5p. The record is from miRBase by way of RNAcentral. Lineage: Eukaryota; Metazoa; Chordata; Hyperoartia; Petromyzontiformes; Petromyzontidae.